CGACUGAUGCUUACAUUUAAUUUAUAUACUGCAUCUGUCUAGAUGCCAUUAUGUCCUCUUUUCCCAUUCCACCAACAAAGACUCUGUACACUCGAAUUUUGCCAGGUCUCACCAGACUGGUGUUGGGUCCAGGGACAGGUCCACAGGCAACCCUGGGCAUUUAAAUGUAAACCAAGCCAGUCAGUUGAGGGGUGCUGGGUCCAGUCAUUAGUCCAGCCACAGUGACGGGUCCCAGCACAGCAAACGGUACUGACACAGGAAGCAGUCCAGGCACAGCGACA
Molecule: long non-coding RNA, 281 nt
Filed under: Sinocyclocheilus grahami
Lineage: Eukaryota; Metazoa; Chordata; Actinopteri; Cypriniformes; Cyprinidae
Description: lncRNA (ENSSGRG00000011630.1)
Source: RNAcentral